RNAcentral lists this ribosomal RNA (366 nucleotides) under uncultured bacterium. RNAcentral's name for it is "bacterial SSU rRNA". It matches the Rfam family "Bacterial small subunit ribosomal RNA", at positions 29 to 424 of the family's 1533-position model. The record is from RNAcentral.
AACGAACGCUGGCGGCAGGCUUAACACAUGCAAGUCGAACGCCCCGCAAGGGGAGUGGCAGACGGGUGAGUAACACGUGGGAACGUGCCCUAAGGUUCGGAAUAUUCCCGGGAAACUGGGAGCAAUACCGAAUGUGACCGCAAGGUGAAAGAUUUAUCGCCUUAGGAUCGGCCCGCGUCGGAUUAGCUAGUUGGUGGGGUAAAAGCCUACCAAGGCGACGAUCCGUAGCUGGUCUGAGAGGACGACCAGCCACACUGGGACUGAGACACGGCCCAGACUCCUACGGGAGGCAGCAGUGGGGAAUCUUGGACAAUGGGCGCAAGCCUGAUCCAGCCAUGCCGCGUGGAUGAUGAAGGCCCUAGGGUU